RNAcentral lists this unclassified non-coding RNA (248 nucleotides) under fungal sp. RNAcentral describes it as "partial internal transcribed spacer region". The stretch from base 1 to 46 matches the Rfam family "Eukaryotic small subunit ribosomal RNA", at positions 1786 to 1831 of the family's 1831-position model. Lineage: Eukaryota; Fungi. The record is from RNAcentral.
AAGUCGUAACAAGGUUUCCGUAGGUGAACCUGCGGAAGGAUCAUUAACACGUAUCCACGUAUCAACCCCUGUGCACCUGUACGUGUCUGAGUUGUCAAAUGUACUCUGCGUGAGGACCUUUGGUAAAGCAGGCAUUUUAAACCAUACCCUGUUACCCCAAUUGACUAAAAAAGAAGUUGGUGCAUUUAUGUACUCGACUUCGACAUACGAAACGUUAACAACUCUUAGCAACGGAUAUCUUGGUUCUC